This 1352-nucleotide ribosomal RNA is filed under the name Megophrys longipes (Malacca spadefoot toad). Its description in RNAcentral is "Xenophrys longipes (Malacca spadefoot toad) partial 16S rRNA". It matches the Rfam family "Bacterial large subunit ribosomal RNA", at positions 361 to 2530 of the family's 2925-position model. Lineage: Eukaryota; Metazoa; Chordata; Amphibia; Anura; Megophryidae. The record is from RNAcentral.
UGCCAACAAUCUAGCCCAAACCUUUCUCAUUCUUCCACCUCUUCUUCCCCUACAUAAAAUAAAACAUUCUUUAUCUCUAGUAAAUGCGAUCGAAAAAGAACUUGGAGCUUUAUAAACAGUACCGCAAGGGAAAGAUGAAAUAGAAAUUAAAUAAACACAGAAGCACCAAAAAGCAAAGAUCUCAACUUGUACCUUUUGCAUCAUGGUCUAAUUAGUCUUAACAGGCAAAAAGAUUUUUAGUCUGAUCCCCCGAAACUAAGUGAGCUACUCCGAGGUAACCUUUGAGUAAACCCGUCUCUGUAGCAAAAGAGUGGGACAACCCCCGAGUAGCGGUGACAUACCUAUCGAACUUAGUGAUAGCUGGUUACUCAAGAAACGAAUAUUAGUUCUUCCUAAAGAGACCCAAGCCAAUUUCCUCAAAGCAAUUCAAAUCUCUUUAGAUCUAUUCAAUAAGGGUACAGCCUUAUUGAAAAAGGAUACAACCUAAAGUUCAGGUUAACGACUCUUAAGAAUUCUUGAUAAGUUGGCCUAAGAGCAGCCACCUUUAAAAUAGCGUCAAAGCUUACCCUAAUUCUUUCCUUUAAUCUCCAUCUCACCACAGAACCCGAUCUCAAUAUUGAGUCAUUCUAUAUUUUUAUAGAAGAGUUUAUGUUAGAACUAGUAACACAGAAUUAUUUCUCUCUAUGUAAGUGUAAAUCAGAUCGAAUAACUCACUGAUAUUCAUUCAGCUAUGAAACUAAUGCAGUAACCUCACCAGAAAACCCUGUAAUUUCCCCUGUUAACCUUACACAAGAACAUAAGAAAAAGAUUUAAAGACAAGGAAGGAAUUCGGCAAAUUCAAGUCCCGCCUGUUUACCAAAAACAUCGCCUCUUGGACCUAAUAAGAGGUAAUGCCUGCCCAGUGACCAUGAGUUCAACGGCCGCAGUAUUCUGACCGCGCGAAGGUAGCGUAAUCACUUGUCUUCUAAUUAAAGACUAGUAUGAAUGGCCACACGAGGACUUAACUGUCUCCCUUGCCUAAUCAGUGAAACUGAUCUCCUCGUGCAAAAGCGAGGAUAACUUCAUAAGACGAGAAGACCCUAUGAAGCUUUAAACUAAAUAUCAACUUUUUAACCCUCUAUUCUAAGGAAUUAACACCCAAUUAAUUUUCUUGAUAUUAGUUUUAGGUUGGGGUGACCGUGGAGAAAAAAAAAUCCUCCCUGAUGACUUAUUAACCAAGAGCCACAUCUCUAAGCACUAAGACACUUAACUCCAAUUGACCCACUUUGUGAUCAACGAACCAAGUUACCCUAGGGAUAACAGCGCAAUCCAUUUCAAGAGUUCCUAUCGACAAAUGGGUUUACGACCUCGAU